AUCCUUUACUUUAGUGCAUAUAUUUGUGUGUUUUAUUUUUAAUUAGGCGAAAAGUUUUAAAACACCCAAUUCACCCCCCUCUUGGGUGACCAUCUCUGGGCAACACAUAUCAAAUAUCAUCACAAUUAUAGCGAUAUUUUAUCGGUGUGGUAUGAUACAUCUGGUAUUAAGCAAUAUAUGCGAUAUGACGAAUAUGUUAGUUGGUAUGCUUGCAAAUGAUAUAUUGUUUCUUUCCAAAGUUUACUAGAGUUACUUGUAAUGCUGCAGGAUUUAAAUUCUUUUGUUGUCCAUUCAAAUUUUUUGCUGUUCAUUUUUGAUGGAAUCAAAAUGUUUGUAGAAACUAAAGUAGAUCUUAUGUAGGAAAUUAAUUCUGCAAUUUUUUUGUCUUCCAUGUGCAAAGAUUGAUGACAAUCUCCUCUUUCAUAAGCUGAAUGGGAGACUAGAUGGCUGGAAAUGGGGAUGUUCUCUCUAGGGGUAGCAAUGGAUCGGGCCUGUUUGGGAUUGGAUCAGGUCAGCUAAAGAUAAAAACUUAUAAAUAUCUUGACCCAUAUCCAGUCCAACUUGACAUUAGACAAGACCUCUCAACCAUUGCUCACCCAUAAGUUGUUCGUUCACUCAUUUGACGCUAAUAUGAUCAAUUUUACAAGAUCCAAUUCCUCAUAGACCUAGCCUAAUCUAUCAAAUCCAAUCCUUAUAAUUCUCACGACUAUUUUUUAAACUGGUAUUAAGAAAAACCAAUACACAUAAAAUUUUUAUCUAAGAUCAUGUCUCAACCCGACCUAAGUUGUUUGGACUCAAAUAGAACCUUACCCAUCAUGACCCAAAUUGGACCAAAGCUCCUAUUUAAGUUCGGUUUACAAAAUUUGAUCCAUUCGGACUCUAACGGGAAAACCUUCACCCAGACUUGGCCCAAAUAGGGUCAGGUCAGGAUGGGUUCCCAGGACGGAUCAUUUUUCCCGCCCUAGCUGUCUCCAGUGAGCUGAAUAACUCUCUUGCAAUCUUAGUUUCAACCUGAACCUUCUUACUAAGUGACCGGCUUUGCGGGCAAUUGAUGAAUUGGAGCAGAUGUUCAAAUCCUUUCCACGGGGGCAAUCAUCUGAUAGAAGAAAAACUUUUAUUUGCUUUCCGGGGAAGCGGUGUGCCAACUCUGAACUUUGGAAGGUCUGGGUAAUUCAGUCAUUGCACGCUCGCAAAAUAUCUAUGACAGGUUGGUGACGAAUGUAUCUUGUUUUGUGGAGGGCCAUCAACAUUGGAGCUACUAUCAGUCAGGUGGUUCUAAAUGGUGCUAAGCUUGGAGAUUGAAUCAACUUGGUUCUAAAUGGUGCUAAGCUUGGAGAUUGAAUCAACUUGUAGCACUAUCCUUGCUUGACGACUAUGCUGCUGAAUUUGGAAAUAUGGAUCAAUUAGUACCGUGAUUACCUGAUUGCGGCUUUCCUUAUCAACCCUAAGCAACAGCUGGAUGCUUAAUUGCUAGGUACAAUAUUUCCUCCUGAGUACUUUAUGAUUUCUGCUACAAAAUGGUUGAAUUUUUUGGAAAAAUUACAGAUUUACUCUCUCUAGUUUGAGCGGUUCUUAUUUAGACCUGCUCUCCUUUAAAAAUUUUAAAUUGGAUCCAUUGAGUUAUUAAACUGACCCAUUAUGGUUCUACAGUCCGUGAACACCCACCACCAUUAGCUUGCCAUCACAAAAGACAUGGAUGCCCUCUUCAUCCUUGUUCGGAUAUCUAGCACCAUCGCCUUGCCAAUCCUCACCCAGGGCUUCGGCAUGGCAUGCAUUGCUAAGCUCUGUCGGUGUUAUGGAAGAUGAAAUAAGAUCUAAGGCCGAAGAAUUAGACGUGGUAGGCUGUCCACUUCCGAAUCCAGCUAAUGCUCAAAUGGUGGUUGGAAAUGAGCGUUAUUGUAGGUGCUAGGGAAUUCUUUGAGAGGAACAAACUUUGUAAAUUUUGUCUGUGAAGUGAAUUUCGUUAGUGGUGGGUUAGGUUGGAGUUGAGGAGAGCAGUUGGAGGUGAAGAGGAGGGGAUGGUAGAGUUGAAGCUGCAAGACAGCCAUCAAGAGGGUGAGGACGAUUUGGCCGGGGCUUUGGCCACUUGUGGCCACCGAUGAGUGGGGGCCGGGCCGCCAUGGGUGACCCUUGGACUUGUCAGGGAAUGGAUGUUUUGAGACCAAGGCAAGGGAGGGGGUGCUCUCAUCGACCCUACCAACUUUGCUGGCGUUCGCAAGUGUUUGAUGCCAUGCACAACGUUGAGUGGCCCCUCCUCUCCAUCCUCCAUGUUGACCUACCUAGCUACAUCUCUAUUCUCAAGUAUCUCAAGGAGGUGGCCUUGGAUAAGCUCCCCCUUGGAGGGAGGCCUCCUCGACCCGCCUUUGACAAGCUCAAGGCUAGGUUCUACCAUUUCCCAUUUGACCACAUCACCCCCAUCCCUGUGCCCUCCUCCUCUUCCAUAGCCAACAAUGAUGGUCGUGCUGCCAUUGCCCCCACUCCUCUUCCAAUCUUGGUCAUUCAAAAACUACAUGCCAUCCUCAAGCACAUGACUACCAACAACCACCUCGAUAGCUACAUCACCUCCUAUAUCGACAUUUGGGACUCUAACAUCCAUGCUAGCCUCCAUGCCCUUGUUGCUGCCCUUUCCAUUCUUUUUGGGCAUUUAGAAAACUUGGGAUCCCUAGGGAAGUCGACUGGUUGGGGCAAAGGGUACGUUGCUAAGCUUACUUAGUCAAGGGUGCAUCGCUGAGCUUGCUUGGAAAAGGUGCGCAGGCAUGCCAACGACAUUGGUCUAGUUGGAAAGAUAUUGAUGGAAGAAAGGAUAAAGAGGAGUGUGGAUUCAGGUACCCUGAUCUUUAAGGACUUUCUUCAUCGUCACACCACCAUUCGAAGGAGAUUGGCGCAGACAGGGUGGGUAGGAGGCUAAAAAUUGGUGAUGGUGGUCUCUUUUUUCUUCUUCUUCUUCUUGUUCUUUCUUUGUCAACGGUGGCUAGGGCUCUUUGUGGGUGAAGGGAGGAAGAAGAAGAUGGGUUGCUGGCUGAAUUAGAUUGGGCUUGAGGAUGAGUAGCCGGAUGACUGAAAUUGGACAUCAAUUAGAGGUGGUGGCUGCAAUUGAUUGGACCAAAGGUUCAUUAGGCUGAAGUGUGGUUAGUUGGAGUUUCAUUUGGAGAGGGACUCUAAGGAGGACGUGAAAGGGUUGGGAUGUGCUGGGGCUUUACUAGUUGCUGAUGUGGCAAGAUAAGGAGGGGUGAACAAGAAGAGGCGUGAAUUAAGGAAAGGAUAAGUAUGACUUGGAUGUGAGAGUCUCACCCAAAUCCAAAUCAAAGGAGGCGUUGAAGAGGAUAGGCAUCUCACCUUUUCCUUCAGCCUUUUGGCGUUGCACCAAGGGAAGAAUCACUCCUCGCAUGAAGCAAAACAAGAAUUUUUAAAACAGUAAAAACUGAUUUCAUUCUUCAUACUUUUUCUUAUAUAGAGAGAGAGGUUGGUAAAGAUAAGAAGUUACAACCAGAAAUUUUAUUUGGACUCCUAACCACAUAA
This is a non-coding RNA of Phoenix dactylifera (date palm), 3519 nucleotides long. Lineage: Eukaryota; Viridiplantae; Streptophyta; Magnoliopsida; Arecales; Arecaceae. The record is from RefSeq and is a predicted model, not a curated record.